AGCUGAUGCAGCAAUGCCGCGUGUGUGACGAAGGCCUUAGGGUUGUAAAGCUCUUUCGCCGGGGAAGAUGAUGACGGUACCCGGAGAAAAAGCCCCGGCUAACUCCGUGCCAGCAGCCGCGGUAAUACGGAGGGGGCGAGCGUUGUUCGGAAUUACUGGGCGUAAAGGGCGUGUAGGCGGCCUUGUCAGUCAGGCGUGAAAUCCCCGGGCUCAACCUGGGACGUGCGCUUGAUACUGCGUGGCUUGAGAGCGAGAGAGGAAAGCGGAAUUCCCAGUGUAGAGGUGAAAUUCGUAUAUAUUGGGAAGAACACCAGUGGCGAAAGCGGCUUUCUGGCUCGUUUCUGACGCUGAGGCGCGAAAGCGUGGGGAGCGAACAGGAUUAAAUACCCUGGUAGUCCACGCCGUAAACGAUGUGUGCUAGACGUCGGGGGUUAGGCCUUCCGUGUCGCAGCUAACGCAUUAAGCACACCGCCCGGGGAGUACGGCCGCAAGGUUAAAACUCAAAG
RNAcentral lists this ribosomal RNA (506 nucleotides) under uncultured Alphaproteobacteria bacterium. Its description in RNAcentral is "bacterial SSU rRNA". It matches the Rfam family "Bacterial small subunit ribosomal RNA", at positions 381 to 906 of the family's 1533-position model. Lineage: Bacteria; Pseudomonadati; Pseudomonadota; Alphaproteobacteria. The record is from RNAcentral.